GGAAAAUGGGACACCUCAGUUCCCAACUUUUAAUCUAACAGGAGUAUUGUUUCUUGUUGCAGAGUCUGGAUUGUUGACAUGGCAGUAGACGUCCAAACCCCUCAUGCUGUUUGGAGAUCUCUGGCACACUUGCUUGGUUUCUCACAAGAGACCACAUCGUUAGUUCAGUCCAGUGGGUACGGCAGACAACAAAUGGAGAUGGUGAUGCUGCUUUUUUCCAUACAGUGAAUGAAAAUGAC
Molecule: long non-coding RNA, 239 nt
Organism: Sinocyclocheilus grahami
Lineage: Eukaryota; Metazoa; Chordata; Actinopteri; Cypriniformes; Cyprinidae
Exons: 3
Source: RefSeq, a predicted model, not a curated record